ACCAAAGCGGAGUGCAUGAACUUAACCACUCGGCCAUGGGGCUGGCCCCCUUUGCUGUCAUUUUUCCUUUUACGGAAAAUGUGAAUCAAGCUGCUUCCUAUUUCUUGUGUCCGAGUGGUUUGUUUCAAGAUGUUUGUUACAUUAAUAUUGGUAUUUUUAUGCUGCUUUUUUAAAGCAAAAUAUUUCUCCCUUGCACUGAGCUAAGACCAAAGGCACACAACGAAGGUCCAGCACCCCACCUGCAGACACAGGUGUGAGAGGGAUAUUAACUGAAAGGCGGUGGCAGGUGGCAUCUGUGGCCCAGGCCUGGUUUCUCUGGAGGAAGUUGCUGCCCACAACCCCACUGGGGCUCCUGGGUCAGGAGCCCACCCGCCUCCAUGUGUGCAGGACACACGUGGCCAGACAGACAGACUCCCAGGGACACACUCCCUGGGGCAGAGAGCCAAAGCCUGCACAAUUCUCUCAGGGUGAGGAAACAGGCACAGAGUGGGCUGAGUCUGCGCGACGGACGCCCCAGGCUAUGGCCGGCACCGUGUCCGGGGAGUGGGGCCUGUCUGGGCCCAGGCUGGUCCCUGCUCCUCUCCCUCUGCCUUCAAGGAUGGCAAGGGGAGGAGAAUCUCAAACCCACCUGGCAACUGACUGCUAGAGGGCCAGGCAAGAGGAUGGACCUCACCGGGAAGAUGGGACAGUCGUGUCCAGCCAUGAGGAUCCUGUGCACUGCACACUGAUGCCCUGGGCGGGGCAGGCAGGCGGACAACACUGGGAAGCCUACCCCAGAAUGGCCAGGACCAGAGGUGGACAUGGACGGAGCUGCCUGAGGGUCAGCACAGAGCAUAGGCCCAGCCACUGCCCCGACCACAGUGAGGUCACUGCCACAGAGGUCGUGAGGGGCUGGCCAGCCUGCACGGGGGGCCCUGUCUUAUCACCCCCUCCCUACCUUGUGCGGCCAUGCUGUGCAACAGCUGCAGCCCUGCUCAUCCAGCUGGACGGUCACUAACGGGCGACAGGAUGGAAGGUGGUGCCGCUGUCUGUGGGGCGGCAUGGAGGUUCCCAGAGGCUGAGGUGGGAGGAGUGAGUGAUGGUCACCAGGUUGGGAGGAGGGGACUCCAGACGUGGUGUUUCAAAAACGGAGAAAUAAACCAAACCCGGGGGGCACUUGUCCACACACAGACCAGGCAGGUGGGAGUGAGGUCCCGGCCCCCAGGGGACUCGGGGGCCCUGGGUCAGCUACCCCCUCGGUGAGACGCUCCCGACAGGACUCUGCAGGGAUCGGGAAGGAUGACGCACGCCUGGAGCACCUGCAGUGGGACGUUUAUUGCACAACAGUUACCUUUAUUCCAGGCCACACUCGGACACACGAGACACAGACCAUGUGGAAACCCUGACCCUCCCACCAGCCCCGAGGUGUGCAGUCAGGGCCAGUAAAGGGCAGAACCAGCGCAUGGACAACUGCUUUCCAGGGAAACAGAAUCUACCAAAAGGUGCCGCCUGUAGGAUCCUGCAGAUGGUACUGCCUGGCGCUGCUCUUCCCCGUGGGCCCUCCCAGGGCCGACCAGGGCUCAGAACAGAGACCUAGCAGAACGCAGCUUUGUCCCUGACUGUGUCUGCUGCUUAUACAACGCGCUUUAAUGUUCCAGGGGUGGGAAAGGUUUCCAGUCACCACCUCGAUGUCACACGGGGAUGCUCACCUGUGGGUUAGGUGAGCGUGACGGGAGGGCACCCAGAGAUGGCUGAGACACUUGUGCCCUUGGGAGCUCUGGCACCCUGCCCUGGAGAAGCUGACACUGGCAAGGGAUGGCCACUUAAGUGUGCUCAGGCGCCACACCCAGCCAUCCCCUCAAAUUCUAGAUACACAACAGGGUUGGUAUUUCCUUCUGGGCACCUGGUGAAGGGGCUCACUGAGACCCUGUUCCUGUCCCGACUCACCAAGAAACCAGAGGCCAUUUUGGAGCCAAUUUUUAUUGUACUUGUUGCUUCGCCGCUGGACACAGCAGAAACGCCCGCUGCGUGAUAUAUACAUAUACACAUAUGUACACACACGGAGAUACACCCACUGCCCACACCGACAGCACAGACGAGCCAAUCGUGCUUGUAAGGACAGUAAAAAUGUAGCGUUUGCCAAUUCCACAGGAGGAUGAUUCACAACCAAAAUAACAAAAA
Equus caballus (horse) is the source of this 2160-nucleotide long non-coding RNA. RefSeq lists it as uncharacterized. The record is from RefSeq and is a predicted model, not a curated record. NCBI's taxonomy places the organism in Eukaryota, Metazoa, Chordata, Mammalia, Perissodactyla, Equidae.